This 789-nucleotide ribosomal RNA is filed under the name uncultured archaeon. Its description in RNAcentral is "bacterial SSU rRNA". It matches the Rfam family "Archaeal small subunit ribosomal RNA", at positions 85 to 876 of the family's 1478-position model. The record is from RNAcentral.
ACGGCUCAGUAACACGUAGUCAACCUAACUCGUGGACGUGGAUAACCUCGGGAAACUGAGAAUAAACCACGAUAGAUCAUAAUGCCUGGAAUGGCUUAUGGUCCAAACAGUUUACUGCCAUGGGAUGGGACUGCGGCCUAUCAGCUUGUUGGUGAGGUAAUGGCCCACCAAGGCGAUUACAGGUACGGGCUCUGAGAGGAGAAGCCCGGAGAUGGGUACUGAGACACGGACCCAGGCCCUAUGGGGCGCAGCAGGCGAGAAACCUUAGCAAUGUGCGAAAGCACGACUGGGUCAGUCCGAGUGAUUCCUGAUAAAGGAGUCUUUUGCUUGUCCUAAAAGCACAGGUGAAUAAGGGGUGGGCAAGUCUGGUGUCAGCCGCCGCGGUAAUACCAGCACCUCGAGUGGUCAGGACGUUUAUUGGGCCUAAAGCAUCCGUAGCCGGCUCUGCAAGUCUUCGGUUAAAUCCACCUGCUCAACAGAUGGGCUGCUGGAGAUACUACAGAGCUAGGGAGUGGGAGAGGCAGACGGUAUUCAGUGGGUAGGGGUAAAACCCGUUGAUCCAUUGAAGACCACCAGUGGCGAAGGCGGCUUGCCAGAACGCGCUCGACGGUGGGGGAUGAAAGCUGGGGGAGCAAACCGGAUUAGAUACCCGGGUAGUCCCAGCUGUAAACGAUGCAGACUCGGUGAUGAACAGGCUUCGUGCCUGUUCAGUGCCGCAGGGAAGCCGUUAAGUCUGCCGCCUGGGGAGUACGGUCGCAAGACUGAAACUUAAAGGAAUUGGCGGGGGAG